AGAGCAGGAGAGGUGGUCGCCCCCGAUGUAUUAAGUAUCGGGGGAGGAAAGUCCGAACUCUACAGGGCAAGGCGGUCGUUAAUUGCGACUGGGGGCAACCCCAAGGAAAGUGCCACAGAAAGUGAAACCGUCCCGACUUUGUCGGGAUAAGGGUGAAAAGGUGAGGUAAGAGCUCACCAGUUGAGACGGUGACAUCUCAAGCUUGGUAAACCCCGCCUUGAGCAAGGUCGAAUAGGUUCCGCUUUGAGAAGUGCCCCUUCUAAUUCUCCGUCCCGACUUUGUCGGGAUCCGGGAGGCGGAACGGGCCGACCGCAAGAGUCUGGUGGCAACACCAGACCUUAGAUGAAUGACCACGUAAACAGAACUCGGCUUAUAAGCCUGCUCUGGCA
Molecule: RNase P RNA, 389 nt
Filed under: Thermodesulfovibrio sp. RBG_19FT_COMBO_42_12
Lineage: Bacteria; Pseudomonadati; Nitrospirota; Thermodesulfovibrionia; Thermodesulfovibrionales; Thermodesulfovibrionaceae
Description: RNase P RNA component class A
Rfam family: Bacterial RNase P class A
About the family: Ribonuclease P (RNase P) is a ubiquitous endoribonuclease, found in archaea, bacteria and eukarya as well as chloroplasts and mitochondria. Its best characterised activity is the generation of mature 5'-ends of tRNAs by cleaving the 5'-leader elements of precursor-tRNAs. Cellular RNase Ps are ribonucleoproteins.
Source: RNAcentral